UUUCCUAAAUUCUCCAGAGCAACCAGAAUCCCAGGCGGACGCGGGAAACUUUGCGGGGUGUAAAGAAAAAGGGGACUGAAGCCAGGAGGGGGAAAGAGAGAAUCGGACGGAAGGGGGUAAGUCCAAUCUUGUUUUUUUCUGCGGUUCAAAUGCCAUAUUAUCUGCUUGCUGAUUCUGUUUUUUCUGAUGUGUGUGAAAGGGAAAGAAACGCUCUAUGCAAUGAAGAACUUGCUUUGCUUGAUGUUUAAUCGAGAGGCAUACUUUAAACUGCCUCUCGAAGAAAUAAUGGUUGAGGGACAGGUAUUGUUGUUUAUGGUAGACUCUGGAUGCAACUAACUCUGUCAUACGCAAAGAUGAAUUCCCAUUUGUCACCUUGAGUGGGCAGUUUAACUCAUCUAUGAGUGCUACGGGGCAUAUAGUGAGGGAAGAAUUUACUGCUCCACUCUGUUGUAUGCAUGACGGUAACGAGUUUAUGCAUAUGUUCCUCUUAUCUGACGCGUGUCUGGUAAACCUCAUGGGGAGGGAUUUGAUGUGUAAAAUUAAUGCUAGCAUCUUAUGUAACAACCAAGGCCUGAAUAUUUCUUGUUGGGAUCCCAGAAUGUCAUCUAUAUGUAUGUCUCUGUCUGUAUAUGUGUAUGAAUGGGCCUUUCUGAAUGAAGAGUUGCAUGCUGAAGGGAAGAUAAGAUUGCCACAAGCCAGCGAGGUCAUUCCAGCUGAAAACAUGCAUUGCACAAGCUCAUGUUGUUGACAUAACAGAAAGAGAGUGGCAAGAGAGAUGGUUUUCUGUAAAGACAGAGGGUUUUGACUUUAACCCAUAUAUGCUGGAAUGACUCAUGGUGUGUGGCACUCGUUCAGUUGACAGGAAAGCAGGAACAAAUUUUUGAUUUUGACAAUUCAGUACCCCACAUCUCCAUUGCAAAAAAUACUAGUCAGCCGUUAGAAAUGCAGGUGAAUUUGCAAAGGCCUGCAGCGAGGCUGUUGAUUGGGAACCAUUGGCAGAUAGCAUACAGUUCUCAGAGCAGUUAUCAGCACACAGAAGAGAUUAUGCUGCUUUUUCAUGGCUGAGAGAGUUGUAAUACAGAAAGCUGUUUCUGCAGAUUUCAACUCACAAAACAGUUUGUCAGUACACAUGACGUGUGCUAGUAUUGAUUUACCGCAAAAAGUUCUUGACAAUGUACCUGAUUACCUGUGGGCUAAAGACAAGUAUGAUGUGGGCUUGAUUAAAGGGUGUGAACCAGUAACUAUCACCCCAAAGAGUGAUUAUAGACCAUGUAAACCCCAAUAUCCUCUGAAAAGGGAGGCGCUUGAGGGGAUAAGGCCAGUAUUUUAGGCAUUAUUGGGAUAAUUAUUCCCUGCCCACACUCACCUGUGAGAACACCCAUUUUUCCUGUACAAAAGGUCAGGGAUGCAGGUCAGCCCACAGAGUGGAGGUUUGUUCAAGAUCUCCAAGCAGGAAAUGCUGUGGUACAAGCAAGAGCACCUCACGUGCCAAACCCUUACACAAUUCUCUGACAGAUACCAGCUGAUGGCCAGUGGUUUUCAGUGUAGUGGAUAUUUCAAGUGCAUUUUCCAGAGUUCCUGUCCAUUCUAAUAGCCAGUUUUGGUUUGAUUUUACAUUUAAGGGGUACAGCGAGAGCCGCACUAUUUACAAACCCUGCAUUGCAUUGUUCAUUAAAGAAACUUGUGUUGGAUGAUGAUGUUGCUUUAUUGCAGUACGUGGAUGACCUCUUGGUGCCAGCACCGACUCAGCAGUCGUGCACAGCCAACACCAUACGGCUGCUCACUCAUCUAGCUGAGGAGGGCCACAAGGCCAACCCCAAAAAGGUACAGUGCUCUGUCCAGAAAGUAACCUUUCUAGGACAUGAAAUUACACCUAUGGGUAAGUCUCUCUCUCCAAAGAGAAUAGAGGCAAUAGCUAACAUACCAAAACCCAUUACAAAGAAACAGGUGAUGUCAUUCUUGGGUAUGACAUCUUAUUGCAGGACUUUUAUUGCUAACUAUUCUGAGAUGCAACAACCAUUGCAUGAUAUGAUUUAUGAGAAACCUUUGGCACCAUCAGAGAAGGUAGAAUGGACAGAGAAGGCUGAAAAGGCAUUUGUGGAACUAAAACAGACAUUACAGCAGGCACCCACUUUAGGUUUGCCAGACCCGAAAAAGCCUUUUGUUCAAACUGUGGAUGAAAGAAAUGGCUGUAUGACCUCUGUUUUGUUACAAGAGCAUGGUGACAAGUUGAGACCAGUUGCGUAUUUUUCAGGACGCCUUGAUGCGGUGGCCAGGGGCCUACCAGGAUGUCUCAGGGCAGUGGCAGCUGCAGAGAAAGCUGUGCAAGCGAGCAGUGAGUUUGUGGGGUAUGCACAGCUACGACUGUUGGUCUCACAUACUGCUCGAACAGCGCACAUCUCACUUGUCUGCAGCAAGGUGGCUGCGUUAUUCCUGUGCAUUGUUACAAAUGUCUAAUGUCACAGUUGAAAGAUGUACAGUUCUUAACCCGGCGACAUUGUUACCUACACCUGAUGAAGGUACACCACAUUGCUGUUUGUCUGCCCUACGGGAAGUAUGUACACCAAGACCAGACCUUACUGACACACCCAUACCUAAUUGCACCCUGACAUAUUAUGUGGAUGGGUCCUCUUCCAGAGAUGACAGAGGCAUAAAUAGGAUGGGGUGGGCAGUUGUGUCUGACUUUGAAGUAGUGAAAUCCGGAUGCUUACCACCUCACAAAUCUGCACAGGUGGCUUAAUUGCAUGCACUAACACAAGCUUGUAAAAUUGCUACUAAUCAAUCUAUAACCAUUUACAUUGACUGCUGAUUUUACUGACAGUUUCUCUCCUAUAACAAAUUUUACUCCUUUCUCAAAUAGCUGUGUGCAAAUGCAAAGCACACACCAAGGAACAGGACGUGAUCUCCAGAGGAAAUGCACGCACGGAUGCGGAAGCAUCUCUCAUGACUGCUAACAAAAACUUUCUCUUACACAGAUUUCCCAGGAAAAGGAAGCCGAAACACCACAGGAGUUACUAAUAAGCAUGCAAACAUUUUCUCUUCCAACAGAAAUAGCUCUAUGGAAAUCGUGUGGAGCAACCAAAACUCCUGAAGGGAUUUGGAUGGGUCCAAAUCAAAAAUGUUACACAACAUCAAACCAGGGGAUUACGUGGUGGUAAAGAACCUCAGGAGGAAAUCCUGGAAAGCCAGACGGUGGGAGGGGCCAUUUCAGGUUCUGCUGACGACUCACACCGCUGUGAAGGUCGCGGAGCGUGCCACCUGGGUGCACGUUGCCCAUUGCCGGAGGGUUGGUCCUGGACUGCAAGGUGUAAACCAAAGGGAGGACGGCUAGUCGACUGCUACGGACCACUUUUUCGUAUUGGUGGGAACCACAGAUACCUGUAUACUGCAAGUUUAUACGAAGAACGACACGAGAGAACUGCAACAGCUCACAAAGUAUUGGAGGACGACUCCAGUAUUCUGGGUUUGGUUUGGACACAUGCACACGACAUCUUUAAUGAUAGCUUGGCACGACUGCACCGUGUGGUCCUACCAAACCCGAACCUACAAAGGAAAUUAAUCAACAAGGGCUCACGACCCCAACUCUAACUGUGCUCAGGGCUCACGACCCCAACUCUAACUGUGCUCAGGGCUCACGACCCCAACUCUAACUGUGCUCAAUCCGGAAUCAUCAAGGGCUCACGACCCCAACUCUAACUGUGCUCAAUUUCUUCAAGAAAACGAACUAUUUUUCUUCUUUCAAAAAUGAGAUUCAUGAUCAUACUAUGUGUGUGUGCAUUUUUACUUUUGCAACUGCACAGAACUAUAUGUACACUAUGGUUAAGGGUAAUAACCAGAGCUACGUAACGAUGACAGUAAAUGAAGUUAUGAAUAAAUCAUAAAAAGGGA
This is a long non-coding RNA of Paramisgurnus dabryanus, 3888 nucleotides long. RefSeq lists it as uncharacterized. NCBI's taxonomy places the organism in Eukaryota, Metazoa, Chordata, Actinopteri, Cypriniformes, Cobitidae. The record is from RefSeq and is a predicted model, not a curated record.